Molecule: ribosomal RNA, 511 nt
Filed under: uncultured bacterium
Lineage: Bacteria
Description: bacterial SSU rRNA
Rfam family: Bacterial small subunit ribosomal RNA
Source: RNAcentral
AGCGAACGUUAGCGGCGGGCCUAACACAUGCAAGUCGAACGCGAAAGGUCUUCGGACUGAGUAGAGUGGCGCACGGGUGAGUAACACGUAGGUAAUCUACCCUUUGGCGGGGGAUAACGUUCCGAAAGGAGCGCUAAUACCGCAUAAGACCACGGAGUCUCCGGACGCUGUGGGAAAAGGUGGCCUCUUCUUGAAAGCUACCACCGAAGGAUGAGCCUGCGUCCCAUCAGCUAGUUGGUAAGGUAAUGGCUUACCAAGGCGAAGACGGGUAGCUGGUUUGAGAGAAUGAUCAGCCACACUGGCACUGGAACACGGGCCAGACUCCUACGGGAGGCAGCAGUGAGGAAUAUUGGGCAAUGGGCGAAAGCCUGACCCAGCCACGCCGCGUGAGUGGUGAAGGCCCUCGGGUCGUAAAGCUCUGUGGAGAGGGACGAAAACCCUGGUUUCAAAUAGGCUCCAGGCUUGACGGUACCUCUUUAGCAAGCACCGGCUAACUCUGUGCCAGCAGCCG